RNAcentral lists this ribosomal RNA (492 nucleotides) under uncultured bacterium. RNAcentral's name for it is "partial 16S ribosomal RNA". It matches the Rfam family "Bacterial small subunit ribosomal RNA", at positions 30 to 507 of the family's 1533-position model. The record is from RNAcentral.
AUUGAACGCUGGCGGUAGGCCUAACACAUGCAAGUCGAACGGCAGCACAGUAAGAGCUUGCUCUUACGGGUGGCGAGUGGCGGACGGGUGAGGAAUACAUCGGAAUCUACUUUUUCGUGGGGGAUAACGUAGGGAAACUUACGCUAAUACCGCAUACGACCUACGGGUGAAAGCAGGGGAUCUUCGGACCUUGCGCGAUUGAAUGAGCCGAUGUCGGAUUAGCUAGUUGGCGGGGUAAAGGCCCACCAAGGCGACGAUCCGUAGCUGGUCUGAGAGGAUGAUCAGCCACACUGGAACUGAGACACGGUCCAGACUCCUACGGGAGGCAGCAGUGGGGAAUAUUGGACAAUGGGCGCAAGCCUGAUCCAGCCAUACCGCGUGGGUGAAGAAGGCCUUCGGGUUGUAAAGCCCUUUUGUUGGGAAAGAAAAGCAGCGGGUUAAUACCCCGCUGUUCUGACGGUACCCAAAGAAUAAGCACCGGCUAACUUCGUG